This 305-nucleotide ribosomal RNA is filed under the name uncultured bacterium. RNAcentral's name for it is "bacterial SSU rRNA". It matches the Rfam family "Bacterial small subunit ribosomal RNA", at positions 335 to 637 of the family's 1533-position model. The record is from RNAcentral.
AUUACCUCGGGAGGCAGCAGUGAGGAAUAUUGGUCAAUGGGCGGUAGCCUGAACCAGCCAAGUAGCGUGAAGGAUGAAGGUUCUAUGGAUUGUAAACUUCUUUUAUAAAGGAAUAAAGUGAGGCACGUGUGCCUUUUUGUAUGUACUUUAUGAAUAAGGAUCGGCUAACUCCGUGCCAGCAGCUGCGGUAAUACGGAGGAUCCGAGCGUUAUCCGGAUUUAUUGGGUUUAAAGGGAGCGUAGAUGGGUUGUUAAGUCAGUUGUGAAAGUUUGCGGCUCAACCGUAAAAUUGCAAUUGUUACUGGG